AUUGAACGCUGGCGGCAUGCCUAACAUAUGCAAGUCGCACGCGAAAGGGGGCAACCCUGAGUAGAGUGGCGGACGGGUGAGUAACGCGUAGGAAUCUACCUGGUAGUGGGGGACAACCCGGUGAAAACCGGGCUAAUACCGCAUACGAUCCACGGAUGAAAGCGGGGGACCGCAAGGCCUUGCGCUAUCAGAUGAGCCUGCGUCGGAUUAGCUAGUUGGUGGGGUAAAGGCCCACCAAGGCGACGAUCCGUAGCUGGUUUGAGAGAACGACCAGCCACACUGGGACUGAGACACGGCCCAGACUCCUACGGGAGGCAGCAGUGGGGAAUAUUGGACAAUGGGGGCAACCCUGAUCCAGCAAUGCCGCGUGUGUGAAGAAGGCCUUCGGGUUGUAAAGCACUUUCGGUGGGGACAAACAAGGUGGAGCUAACAUCUCCGCCUCUGAUGGUACCCAAAGAAGAAGCACCGGCUAACUCUGUGCCAGCCGCCGCCGUAA
RNAcentral lists this ribosomal RNA (496 nucleotides) under uncultured bacterium. RNAcentral describes it as "partial 16S ribosomal RNA". It matches the Rfam family "Bacterial small subunit ribosomal RNA", at positions 29 to 523 of the family's 1533-position model. The record is from RNAcentral.